CCUUUAUCAAAUCUUUCAUUGAAGAAACCAGAAGCUGUCCAUGAGAAGUGAGAAGCUACAGACUCCAUCUUUGCUAAAUCUAGGUUGCACAGGACCAGAAGUUAUAUAAAACAGCUGGACUGAAAUACAACAUUCUGUUCAGAAGACUGAAUGGCCUGAAGCACAAUUCCAGUGUAUUCUGAUGGAGAUGUCACUUCUCAGGCACGGUGAUUUAUUGCAUCAGAAGCCCCCCAGAGAAGCCUGGCAGGGAGAGGAGUUUUCCAUGGGGCACUUCCAGGAGCAGCAGCAGUGCCGGUCCCGUGCCCACUGGGUGGCACUGCAAGCAGGCCCAUGGCACCUCCCUGUCACAGGCAAUCCAGGUACUGGACAGUUCACUCACUUGUUUCUCUGAAUUUAUCUCUACAAAGUCUUGUAUCAAGCCCCAGCUUCCUUGUACAGGUACACAGCUGUGGCUCUGAAACACAGACAAACCUUCAGUAAAUGCCUGAGACAGAACACCAGGGCUUGAGUUCCUGAGGGAAAGACCUGACCACCAGGCAUGGUCAUCUGUUCUUGCCUCCUGUCACUCCAAGUCAUCCCACACACAUCACCACAGACUCACUUCUUCCAGAAACCAAGUGGGCCCAUUUAAACCUGAAUAUUCACACUAGUGGGGACAUAGCAUUUUUCAUAAGACAGAAUUUAGGAUCCUAAGAGUCUUCAAACUCAUCUGUUUAGUGAUAAUACACUGGGCAAACACUGAAGGCAUCUUAAGAAAAAAAUCAAUUUUGGUAUCAAAACAAAGUAUUAAAUGAAAAAAAACCCCUCAUUUUG
Long non-coding RNA from Melospiza georgiana, 813 nucleotides. RefSeq lists it as uncharacterized. Lineage: Eukaryota; Metazoa; Chordata; Aves; Passeriformes; Passerellidae. The record is from RefSeq and is a predicted model, not a curated record. The transcript is spliced from 3 exons.